This 616-nucleotide long non-coding RNA is filed under the name Sorghum bicolor (sorghum). Its description in RNAcentral is "long non-coding RNA (SBIC_LNC002507)". Lineage: Eukaryota; Viridiplantae; Streptophyta; Magnoliopsida; Poales; Poaceae. The record is from RNAcentral.
UUUUUAAUAUAGAGUUUUUAGAUCACUUUGUUUUGACCUAGAUGAGACUUAAAAUCAAGUUUAGGGACCUGGAUGACACAACUGAACAAAUUUGAGGACUUAAACGGGUGAUUUCUAAGUUUAGGGACCGAGAUGACACGACUAAACAAGUUUAGGGACUGAGAUGAUACAGACGAACAAGUUCGAGGACCUAAAUCGUCGAUUUGCGAGUUUAGGGACCGGGAUGACACAUUAAUACAAGUUUAGGGACCGGUGGUGGACUUUACUCUUUACUUAUCUACGCCCUUUGUACUGUUUACAUGUCAACUCUGUAAUAUGAAUCAUUUGUGCUUUUUACGAAAUUAGCCAUUAUGCUUUUCAUUGCUGAUGAAUGAAGCAAUUCUCUUGUGAACUUGCUAAAAUUUAAUGCUAUGGAAGAUAUGUCAUGAUAGGGCGCCCGUGUUCUAGUAAUAUUGAAAAGGCCUAAAGGGAGAAAGAGUGACGAACGGCACGCAGAAAAUAAAAUGAUAAAAAAAACAAAACAUGUCAGGUGGAGUGAGAGGAGCAGUAGUCCCAUGUGCGUGCGCAGUGUGUGUUCUCGGUAUCUAGGCCUGGAAUCAAAUGUGGACGGGAAACA